UCUUCACAGGCUUCUUCACGGCCUCCUGGCCGAGUACCCACGUGACAAGAGGAAGAGUGCAGAGGGUGCCCGCAGUCCUGGCCUUGGGACAGACAGAGCUUCAGAGGGCUGGUCCAGUCGAGCAUAGGACCACAGUGACAGACUCACUUCUGCGGCUCAGCCUCCUUCUUCCUGCACCCUCGUGGCCCAUUUUGAGUAAGUGUCACCUGGUACGUGUAGCUAUUGCUUUGUUCCAGGAAAUAAAGAAUUGCUCUAAGGGGCAGGACCAAGAGGCCCAUGGGCAGUCUGGGUGCUGGUCCCCCGGGCUCCUCCCUCUUCCCAGGGGUUCAGUUCUGCUGUCCUGGCCCUGACCCCACCCAACCUGCACACAGGAGCCAGUGACAUGUCCCCUCAACCGCCCCUCUGCUGUUCCUCAAAAGCGCACAGAUUUAAUUUUCGACACAUGGGAAGAAAAUGUACUUCCUCAAACAGCCCCAGGGACGGGCCAAGAGGGAGCAAGCUAAUUAUCUCCCGUGUUUUCCUUCAGCGGGGAGUGGGCAGAAGGGACGGGAGAGAAGAAAUUGGCAGGGCCGAGAGCAGGUUCCAGACCGCAUCGUGGGGUUGCAGCGCUGGUACCCUGAGAAUUGGGGUGGGGCGGAAGUCCGGGGCCACAAGAACCUGUGCUCUCUGUCCCCAGAGCCCAGCAUCUGGAGGGAGUUGGCAGGACCCUGCUGCUCGGCCUCCUCCUUCCUGCAGUGCCAGGCAAUGCCACAGGUGGGGUCUUCAGGGCCAAGUCCACGGCAACAAGGCCCUGGUGAGCAGGUGCCACAGAGAGGCCACUGCUUGGGAGACAGGACCCCAUUCCUUCCAGGACCCAAACAGCAGGCCAGGAGAGAGGCCCCAGGAAAAGAGGCUCAGCCUCACGGAGCCAAGAUUCCCAGGAAAAGCGAUGGACACCGGGACGUGGAGACAUGACAGCUCAAACUUAGAGAAUCGGAAGAAGACAAUUCCACAGCCCGACACCUCCCUGUGACAGAUGCCUAAUUAAGACUGGACAGAAACAGGCAAGAGAGCCACUUAAUCCAGACUCUAUUUGCCUUGCUAAUUUAGGGGUGUGCGUGUGCGUGUGUGUGUGUGUGUGUGUGUGUGUGUGUGCAUGUGUGUUUUCCUGUUGGGUGAAGGUUUGUAAAAUCUUAAUGAGGUUGUGCAUAUUGGAACAGAGAUGGAAAGGCGUCCUCCCCUCCCCCUCCGUAAUGGUCUCACAUCCCUGGGGCCAUUAAAACUCCAUGCACAAGACUCUCCCUGUAGGGAAAGUGGCAAAGGGCCUCCUCUGUCUGUGGAUUCAGGGGAGGAGACCAAGUGUCUCAUUCAAUCACAGAUAGAUGGCUGGUGGCUUAGGCAGUUGAUGACUACUUCUUUUUUUUUUUUCUUCCUUAAAUGAAAACCUCAAAUUGGACUCAAAGCAGCUAUUUGUAAUGUCAGGAGCCGCUGGCAUUUAGAUAUCAAGCUCAUUGAAUUAAUUUUUAAUGACCUUUAAUGUGACAGGUCAGCAGGGGCAGAAGGAACACUCUGCUGUGUACACAGUAGGCAGUUGUUGGAACCAAAGGGAACAGGGGAGCAUGCCACCAGGGAGACCCCACCAUGAGCCCUUCCUCCUUCCCGACUCUGCCACCUGGCCUGGGUCCUGGGACUAGGGGACACUGCCUGCUCUCUCCGGCCUAUGUGAGGGGAACAGCUCUGCGAGGGAGGGACGGGCAGCGAGAAAGAGCCCUGCUGGCUUCGGUGCUACCUUGGGGUGAUUCAGAUGGUCACUCCCCAAAGUGGCCUCUUCAAAGCGCACUGACCCCGUGGGCAGUUUCAAGGGGCCCCGUUCAGCGCUGGCUCCCCUUCAGGGCAGUUGAGGUGUGUGCACCACCAGGAGGCAGCUAUCGGAUGAGGAGACCUCAGGGCUACGUCCAUCCACUUGGUCUCAUGCAAGGGUAAGGGGCUAUGUCACUGUGGGCUCCGGGAACCUGCAGCCUUUGCUAAGAGCCUGAAACCGUCAGGUGUCAGGUCCUGGGGCCAGGGGGUGAUGAGGCACCAGCCAGCCCGUCCCUGUCAGAGAGCAGGUCAAGGUGUCCCCUGGGUGAGACGGCAAUUUCACCCUUUCCCAUGCACACACUGGUCAGAUGCACGUCUAACUGGGGCCCGAGGUUCUACAUGGCUACCCAGGUCCCAGGUGACCCUGAGGUUCCUGGUCCGGGAGACCACGCUCUGAGUAGCCAGGGUCGAUAGUCCAGAAAGAUGACCCUGGGAGGGCCUCUCUCAGCAGCAUCACCCGGAGGCCUCAUUAAGACAUGAAUCGCUUCCUCCCAUCCCUAGACUUCCCAACUGAGCAGGUGUGAGGUGGAGAAGGAGCAUUUGCCUUUGUGACAGGAUUGAGGUGAAAAUGACGUCCAGAGACCACGCUUUUGGGAAUGGCUGGGACUCUGGGCCUGAGACCUGCACCAGAGGUGCUUAGAGUUGGACAAGGAAAAGAGGCAGGAAUCGGGAGCAAGAGUGGGUCACCACGUGGCCUUCCCUGUAUACUGUGAAUGGAGCUUUAAUGUCCCUGGGACGUGGAACACUGGGUGGGUGAGUGGGGGGCUCUUUCCAUGCAAAAAUCUUUAGCUCAAAACACCUUCUCCCUCCCAACCCUUUCUCUCCUCGGGAGGAGCACAGGGGAAGGGGAGGGCCGUCCAGCUUCUGCCUGGACAGGCAGCUGCUCAGCCCUCUUUGCCCAUUCCCACAAAACCUGGGGAGAUUUUAAAUGCUCAGGGGGCUUCUGCCUGUUCCUCCAGAUGCCGACUUAAUUGGUCUUAGGUGAUGCCUAGGACCAAUUUUUGUUUUUGUUUUUAAAUAAACUCCUCCAGAGCCACAGUUGAGAACCACUGGCCUAGACCCAAGUCUACUGUCAGCUGCGGCUUGUUGGGGAGUUGGGCAAAGGAUGUCCCCUCCCUUAUUCUCUGAACCUCCUUGCUACACGCCCCCCCACCCAACGCACGUAGCUGAAGUUCUGCGGAACACCUGGUCUGUUCUACUGAGAACGGGGCGACCUACUUUCUCUGCCUGUGGCUUCUCUUGCACAUGGGGACUCUGGGGACGGAGGGGCAGAUGGAAAUGUCAGCAUGUCUGUGUUGAUGCUGCAUUUGGGUGUCACCCAAGCGCUUGUUUCUCUGUCAGAUUCCGGAUGUGGCAUUUAGAUAGUGAACCGCUGCCGCCAGACUCUUGCUGGGGAGAUCAAAGCAUCCGGCAGCAUCCAGAGACGCCCUGGGGUCUGGCUGCCAAGAGCUGGCGGCUCUGGGCCACCGGCAGGACGGGGCUGGCACAGGGACUGUUUCGGCUGGAGGCGGACCACAGGCAGACAGAGCACCUGGGGAUUCUUCCCUCCUGUCGGGGCCCCUUCACCUGUAAGGCUGCUCUCCCAGCCGGGUGCCUACCUGUGCACGUCCAAGCACAUGGGACCUCGCCACACAGCCCUGACCCUGGUGGCUGCCUGUGGCUGUCACCACUCUCUGUCCCUCACUGUGAGGAGGGAUAGACCACAGAGGGCCAGCCAGCCGGCCGGAGGGGGCUCCAUCUAAAAUGGUCCCAUCGUGGGGAGCAGACACCAGGAAGUGGGUCCAGGACUGGGGACAGAGACCCCUCGUCCUCCUGCCUUCUGGCUUUACUGGAUCCAUUCCACUGUGGUCCCCGUGGGGUGGGGUGGGAUAUCUCCUAGCCUUGUGCUAUAGAAGGCCUUGGAUGUCCCACUGUGUCCCUGGGUGCCUCUGGGGCGUCUCGGGGGCUGGCAGACCAAGGACAGGCACAGGAGGAAUCGGCAAGGUGCACUGGCCUUGAGCACAGAUGGAGCACAGCGGUCCUUCUGGGAAGUGUCCCUGCUCACUGUGAGUCCUCAGCAGCUGCCCAAUGUCACCGGUGUUUAUUAACCUUUCCUGCACACAGCAAAGAACAUUGUGUCUCUCCAUGCAGGCUCUCAAGAAUUCCAAUUAUUCCGUGUUCUGGCCCCCACCCCCACUUUUUAGUAGGAGUCACUAUUAACAUCUCCCUGGUUGGAUUUCGGAAAGAACAGCCUGUCUCGUCUUGACAGGAGACUGGAGAGAACUGUGAGCACUGGGGUCCACUUGGUGCAGGAUCUGGCUCUGGCCGCUCCUCCUGGCCGUCUAUUCUUCCUGUUGACAAGGAGAGAGCAGGGUCUCACCCCUGCCCCUGUCCAAUGCCCCCACCAGUUCCCAAAUGUGAGAGGCUCCGGCCCUUCCAUUAGGACCCCUGCUCCCUGUUACUUUGGUGAUGCCAGACUUGGGGUCUUUUUCCAGCCUCUGUCCCCCUCUCUUCCUGCUCAGAGGGCAGGGGAGAAGGGUCUUAACAGGAAAGUGACUACUCUGUGUACCCUCGGUAUGCCCCGGUCAGCAAGGGGGACCCGGAGAGCGCCCCUCCCAGCAAUUGGGAAGGCUCCAGUUUGUCCCCAGGGGUGUUCCUGUGAAUCUGACGUCCCACAGGAAGUCAUCCUGCAGGCAGGCUGGGCUGGGCAUGGCUGGGUCCCUCCAGCCCCUGAAGGGCUUGAAGCCUCAGACGCAGGAGCAGGGAUCAGGUGGGAGCUGAAAAGUGAGCUUCUCCAAGCAUGGAACUAGGGAGAGGCUUCGGGGCCCCCACCCCUGGAAGCUCCUCAACAAAGCUUCCACCUCUUGCCCCUCAGCGUAGAGCCAGGGAAGAGGGGAUGGCCAUGGCGGUGUGACCUGUGGCCCCUCCCAGCUCCCCAGCUGGCCCUGGCACCGCCAGCCUAACUCCGCCGCCCCCACCUGCUCUCUGGCUCCCUGCUUGCUCUCUGGGCUCAGGCUUCCAAGGGUGGCUCGAAGGCCACGCCCCCUGUGUGGCCUGGAUACCUUCCACCUGCCUCCCCGGCCCCGCCCACCAGCCCAAGGAGGAAGUAAUCUUCCUCCUGGGAGUUCUUGGAACACUUUCUCUGCACUUUGUGGCGGCAGGCAUCAAUUUCUGCUCCUUACCCCAGUUUCCCACCUGCAUCUCUUAUAUCACCUCCGAGUUGGCAAGCUCCUUAAUGACAGGAGUCAUAGCUCAUCCUCCUUUAUGGCCACACUGCACCCAGCGCUGCAAAUGUAGAUUGAAUGAUAAGAAGCUCAACCUAGCGACAUUCUGGGGAUACGUGUCAUCAUGAGAAGGUCGUUCAUUUCUGCUUUGUUCCUGAAGUGGGGGGCAUCUCCUAGUUCCAGGGAAGACAGAGGGAAGACUCAUCCCUCUGAGGUGUCAACUGGUGGACAGCCAUUUCUGGGGUUGUUUGGAGCUCCACCCAUGGGCAGGCCCCGCUGGACAUCACUUUCCACCUCCCAGUCUCCUCCUGAUGCCCCACUUAGUCCAGCCUUAUUGGUGUUGGGAGUCCCACCUUGACACCUUCUUGAUUCUCACGGAACCUCCCGAUGCCACCUCUUGACUGUCCCAGACCUGCUCUUCUUUCUUUGUAAAUCUUUAAUCAGAUGCAUUUCUUUUUUGCUUCUUGUCACUCGGUUUCCGGCCACUCUGUCCACACCCUGCACGCUGUUUCCACUUGAGCGUCCACAAUAUUUGUAACCUUCAGUGCUUAAGGCCACGUGCCUCUGCCAAGCAACCUUUCAGGAUUUCUUUGGUAAAACUCACUCCUUCUUCCUCAGUGGAAUCCCACAGCCAUUGGUUCAUCUGCCUGGUAGUAUAGUUUUUGUAUUAGUUAGGAUAAAAGACUAAGCUGCUGUGAUAUCAUUGUUUAAGCAACAAUAUGGUGGUUUAAAUAACAAAGUGUAUUUUUUCUCUCUCUCUCUCGUUUUUCUUUCUUUCUUUCUCUCUUUCUUUCUUUACUGUUGAACUCAAAUCUACAUCCCAACUCUUUUAAUUUUGAGACAGGAUCUCUCUAGGUUGCUUAGGCCUCACUAAGUUGCUGAAGCUGACCUCAAACUUUCUGUCCUCCUGCCUCAGCCUCCUAAAUUACUGGGAUUAUGGACAUAUGCCACGGUGCCUGGCCUGCAUUUCUCUUUUACCAAGAUUUGUGUUGGAUUGGUGGGGCCACUUGUCAUUUGUGGUCAUCUGGAGACCAGAUGAAUCCGCUCUGUUGUUCUGCCCUCUCCUAGGCGGUAUAAUCAGAGACAGUUGAAGCUAGGUUGAAAGGGUGCAAGUUCAGCCGGUAGGAAGAAAAAAAGAGCUGGCAGAAGUCACCCUGGAUGGUGUUCACCAUCACGAUGGUCUGGUCUCUGUGGUAAUCGUGUCACGUAACAAAUAGAGCCAACAGCCCCAAACUGACAGAGCUCUACAGACGUUUCCUGCCCCUUGGUUAUUUAACAAGCACUAACCUAGGUGCUGCUGAGAAGGGACCUUGCAGAGGCAUUUAGGGUUCUGAAUUAGCUGCUCUCAUGAUUGGCAGCUCAUCUUGGAUUCUCCAGGUGGACCCAGUGUCAUUGCACAAGCCCUUCAAAUCAGGCAGGAAGCAGGAGAGGAGGGAAAGGCAUGUGUCUUCACCAUGCCGCUGCCGAUUCUGAGACACACAGGUCACUUGCAAGGACACCAGUGAAGCCUCUAGAUGUGGAGGACAGUCCCAGUGAUGACCGUCUGGGAAAUGAGAACCUCAGUCCUACAACCACUAGGAACCUGAACUGGCCAGUGACGUGAAUGAGCUUGGCAGCAGGUCCUCCCCUAGCCUCGAGGAGCCGGUCAGCAGCCCCCCUGAGUGUGUCCUUGGAGCCAAGCCAGACCCCUGCAGUUGAAAUCAUAGAGGUGUUUUGGGAUUCAGCCACUCAGUUUGUGGAAGACCAAGGCAGAGGUCCCCACGACUCCCUGUCUCAGGUCUGUGGCCUGCAGGUUGGCUGGGAUUUGGCCAACUCAGCCGGCCAGGCUGCACCGCAGGCUCCCAGGAGGCUAGCGUCUCAUCCAGCAUCUUCAUUUAUUUAGUGUGUUGGUCACAUGGCAGUGACAGAGGCACUGGAGGCCACAUCACACCCCAGGAACAGGCUAAGCCUCCCUUGCAUCUUGGCAACCAACCAUUGUCCCAAACAAGUCUUGAGGUCACGCCCAGCACUGGGGGAGGGGGCAGUGUGCUAACCUGCGCUGGGGGAAGGCCUGCUACCUGACCCGCAGUCUGGUGUAGGAUUCUGCUAGAGGAGGGUAUGGACAUGAGGCCACCGUCCACUCGCCCACACUUCCCAUCCCGCUGUCUUCUCCGAGGCAUAACGCCUGCUCUUUGUGUUCCUUUACUGUUGUGUGUGUAUGUGCACGGGUACACACGUGUGUGCCUCACACUAGAGCGUGCACUCCAUGAAGGUAGGAAGAGCUGCCUCUUUUGCCUCCUGAGUCUUAAGCACAGACCUGGGAUGUCACAGGAGGUCAAUAUGUACUUGUUGAGUAAAGCAGUGAUGUUAGCUGGGACCCACCGUGUCUUCCCCGUGGGCUGCACGUGAUUCAUUUUGUGUAGGAAAAGCACCCCCACACCCUGUGACAUGGACGGAAAGCUCAUCACAGCACAAAAAGCAAAACCUACUCCCAGCCUGAUAUGGAGCCUCCGAUGGUCUCCAGGAGUUGCAGGAAAUUGUAAAAAUAAAAUUGUAAAAAUUCCCCCCCCAAAAAAAUUAGGCUGUGAUAACAACGCUCCCCACCCCCAGGCUGGCUGUUGGUUGGUGGGGGGGGGGCCCAGGUCUAUAAAUUCAAACCGCAGGGCAUGCCAAUCCCCAGAGGCUUCACUCCUGAAGCUAAAAUAAUAAUUCUGGGCUUUGGCAGGAUUUUCUGGAUCCCACCCGGCUUUUCUUGAGCAUGGAGGACUGGCCGUCCCUGCCAAAUGGAACCACCUCGGGAGAGCUGGCCAGGGCUGUCAGCGCCUCUCCUUUCAGUCGGCUGAUUGGCGGAGUCAACUGGUGUUUGUGGGGUGCCGGGCCCAGCCUCGGUUAACCCCUUCAGACAUCUAAAGACGCCUGAGAUGCACGGUGGCAUGGGAGGCGGGGGUCUGGAUGCAGGAGCUCACACAAGACGAGAAAGGGGCGGGGACACCCUCCAUCCCAGGUCUUGAGGGAAUCGCCACCCUGGGGGCACAGGGGUCCUCCUAGAACCCGUCCUCACCUCCAUUGCAAUGUUAUCAAACAUAUCCAUUCUCUGUCAGUAAUGGUCAUCACCAUCACCACCAACCACUGCGAUAUAAUUAAUAUUUACCUGUGAUUAUUAUCAAUAUUUAUUAGUAAUGAAUAUUAAUCAUGGGAGUCUCAUAAAUAAAUAUUAAUAGUAUUAACAUCAAAUAUUUAUUACGUUUAUUAUGCACCAGGAGUCCAUUGUUAUGCACCCUAGUGUAGGUGGUAGGAUGAUCCCCACUUGACAGACAGGGAAACUGAGGCAGAUUCAGGAUCUUGCCCAAGGACACCUUGCAGAGUGUUGGAGGGGGGCCUGGCUGACUGACACUGGCUCUAUGCUACACAGUGUCUGAGAGAGCAGGUAUUAUGCUUUCAUUUAAAAUGCUGCAUUCAUUGAGUGCUUGUCUCACUCACUCAGAGUAAGAAGAGGAGCAGGAGGGCAGGGCGCCAGUGGACCCGGGAUCAGAGAGGCCCUGACCUCCCUGAGAUGGAAGGUGGUGGGGGCGGGGGCGAUGGUACAGGCACUUGUAUUAAAAUGCAAAUUUCUGCCUUGCUUGCUGGUUUAUCAUCUGACUCGUUAUACAAUUUGCCAGUUAUAGAAGAAAAAUUACCAUAAUGGGGCCCCAGGGAAUGGUUGUAAAAAGGAGACCAAACGUUACUUAUCGGCCGUUCCACUACAAUUAUCUUACACGUUUGUUCUUUUCCUCCUCAGAAAAAUGAAACCGUCAAUGCCAGGGACAAGGUGCUGACCAGGGUGCUGACCAGGCAGGAGACAGCCCAGCGGCUAUGUCUUUGAUCCGCUCCUCCCUCCUCUCCCUACCUGCCCCAGCUGGGGCCACCGCGGCUACCUUCCUUGGGCAGCUCCCUCCGCAGGACAGGCUGGCUGGGCGUUUUCCAAGCAGGAAAAGAGAGAGGGUUCUGCAGGUGGGAGUUCAGAGUCUCCUGCGUCUUACUGGCCCAGGCUGGGCAGGAUCUCCUCUCCUGGGGGCUUGAUGUGGAGGUGGGGCAGCUCAGGAGGUCCCAUGGAGCAUCACUCCUCAGCCUCAGCAGGUACCGGGCAGGUAGGUGGGACUCAGGUAGGCUGCAGGUAGCCGGACUUCUGCAAGGAGGCAGCCGCUGUGUGGGGCAUUCCUCUGGGCCACCGUACCCGGAGGACUCACGCUCCUAGAUACCUUUCCAACCUGUACCUGCCGCCCCACCCAGAGCAUCUUCCUGCAGAGCCUCACUGUGGGCUCCUUGCAGGGGGAGGGUGAGUCUUUCCACUUGAUUCUUUCAGUAUCUACCGAGUACUUGGAACCUAAUAAGAAGGAGAUAAAUAUUUGAUGAAUGAAUGAAA
RNAcentral lists this long non-coding RNA (9423 nucleotides) under Marmota monax (woodchuck). Lineage: Eukaryota; Metazoa; Chordata; Mammalia; Rodentia; Sciuridae. The record is from RNAcentral.